GUGCAUUUUAGUGUUUUUCUUGGGUUCGGUAGUUCCAGUGGUCAUGUGAUUUCUGCAAACCUAGUUUGAUGAUUUGUAUUAACCCCUUAAGGACACAUGACGGAAAUAUACUAUGUAGAAUAUAUGUGGUAAUUCUAAGAAAGAAACUUGUAAAAUAACACUGUCUAAUGUUCUAUAAUGUCACUCAUAUACAAACACACAAAUUCUAGAAUUACAAGCCUAAAUAGGUUUUGUUUGUGUUUGUAAUUAAAGGUUAGACUAUAUAAAAUGUAGGUUAUUUCAU
This is a non-coding RNA of Pelobates cultripes (western spadefoot toad), 283 nucleotides long. The record is from the annotation of a GenBank genome assembly. Lineage: Eukaryota; Metazoa; Chordata; Amphibia; Anura; Pelobatidae.